CGGUAAUUCCAGCUCCAAUAGCGUAUACUAAAGUUGUUGCAGUUAAAAAGCUCGUAGUUGGAUUUCUGCGGGGACGGAGCGGCCGGACGCAACUUGCGUCUCGAGCUAGCGCUUUCCCCGCAUCCUGCCGCGAACCGUGCUACCAUUAGUUUGGUGGCGCUGGGGAUCGGCUCGAUUACUUUGAGAAAAAUAGAGUGUUCAAAGCAGGCCACACGCCUUGAAUAAGUUAGCAUGGAAUAAUGACUAAGGACUUUGGUUCUUUUCGUUGGUGUUCGGGACUGAAGUAAUGAUUGAUAGGGACAGUUGGGGCGGUCCGUAUUCCAAAGCGAGAGGUGAAAUUCUUAGACCUUCGGAAGACGAACAGCUGCGAAAGCGUUCCGCAAGGAUGUUCCCUUUGAUCAAGAACGAAAGUUGGGGGAUCGAAGACGAUCAGAUACCGUCGUAGUCUCAACUAUAAACUAUACCAGCUAGGGAUCGGCCAACGUUUAGUUAUUCGACUUGGUCGGCACCUUAUGAGAAAUCAAAGCAUCUGGGUUCCGGGGGGAGUAUGGUCGCAAGGCUGAAACUUAAAGGAAUUGACGGAAGGGCACCUCCAGCCGUGGAGCCUGUGGCUUAAUUUGACUCAACACGGGAAAACUUACCAGGUCCAGACAUAGGAAGGAUUGACAGAUUGAUAGCUCUUUCUUGAUUCUGUGGGUGGUGGUGCAUGGCCGUUUUUAGUCGGUGAAGUGAUUUGUCUGCUUAAUUGCGUUAACGGACGAGACCCCAGCCUGCUAAAUAGCGCGGCCGAGCUUUGCUCGGUGCGAGCUUCUUAGAGGGACCAUGAUGCGCGAUAGCACAAGGAAGUUUGGGGCAACAACAGGUCUGUGAUGCCCUUAGAUGUUCUGGGCCGCACACGGGCUACACUGGCGCCUGCAACGAGCAUAUCAGCUGGCCCGAGAGGGUCUUGGCUAAUCUUUGGAACCGGCGCCGUGCUUGGGAUUGACCAUUGCAAUUGUUGGUCAUGCAACGAGGAAUGCCUUGUAAACGCGAGUCAUCAGCUCGCAUUGAAUACGUCCCUGCCCUUUGUACACACCGCCCGUCGCUCCUACCGAUGAAUGUUCCGAUGAAAUUUUCGGAGAGCGCCAGAGAACGGGGCUCUGCCUUGUAGAUCUGGAGGCUCAAAGUCACUUAAAUCUGAACAUUUCGAGGAAGGAGAAGUCGUAACAAGGUAGCCG
RNAcentral lists this ribosomal RNA (1217 nucleotides) under uncultured Rhizaria. Its description in RNAcentral is "SSU rRNA". It matches the Rfam family "Eukaryotic small subunit ribosomal RNA", at positions 577 to 1805 of the family's 1831-position model. The record is from RNAcentral.